Molecule: long non-coding RNA, 341 nt
Organism: Drosophila hydei
Lineage: Eukaryota; Metazoa; Arthropoda; Insecta; Diptera; Drosophilidae
Exons: 5
Source: RefSeq, a predicted model, not a curated record
CGUGCAGCCGGCGGCCAUUUGCAUUGAACACUUUGUGAGAGAUGGGUUGAAAACAGAAUUUGCCUAAAUGUGGAUUGAAUAUACAUAUUGAAAAGGCACGAUGUCUUGAAAGAAAAUAAGUCUGCGGAAAGAAGAUGGCGACAUGCUGCUAACUUCUAAAAAAAAAAAGGAAGUGAAAAUGCCGUAGCGCAUAUGAUUGGAUGGCCAAAGUGAGGUUAUGAUGAAUACAACGGGCAUUAUUUGGCUUAAGAAAGACGCCACAGACUUGAAAAAGGAUUGCAUCAUGUAUUGAUAAUACAAAUAAAUACUAAUCUCAAUAAAAUGAUUUAACAAUUAUAAAA